This is a long non-coding RNA of Magallana angulata, 388 nucleotides long. RefSeq lists it as uncharacterized. The transcript has 4 exons. The record is from RefSeq and is a predicted model, not a curated record. NCBI's taxonomy places the organism in Eukaryota, Metazoa, Mollusca, Bivalvia, Ostreida, Ostreidae.
AGGGGAGUUGUACUGUCUAACAUGUUCUGAGGUGGUGUCGCCUAGACAUUGUAAAGCCAUCCGCCGAUGUAGUGAAGGACAGGUAUGCUUCACUGAAGAAUACACAAGCAUAACAGGUGAAACGUUAUACAACGUUGGAUGCCAAAGUUCAUUGCGAUGCCAAUCAAACGUAAGGAAUCCAUUUUUAGAAAGAUUUAUAGGAUCACAGAAAUACGUGUAUAGUCCUGAUACCAGAGUAUGCUCUGAAUGUUGUUCUUCAGAUGGGUGUAACAGGAACGGCUGUGGGACAUUAGAUUAUCCGGAAAUAAGAGGACCUACAUGCUUUGACUGCCAACAAACUCGAAAUCCUAAGUUAUGUAGAUCAAUAGCCGUAUGUAAACAGUGGGAG